Phascolarctos cinereus (koala) is the source of this 582-nucleotide long non-coding RNA. RefSeq lists it as uncharacterized. The record is from RefSeq and is a predicted model, not a curated record. NCBI's taxonomy places the organism in Eukaryota, Metazoa, Chordata, Mammalia, Diprotodontia, Phascolarctidae.
UGGAGAUGUCGGUGCUGGUGGCGGCGGCCUAGCGCCUCUAGGCCCGGGGUUCAGAGCCCUUUCCGCUUCCUGCCUCAGUUGUCCCUUGAGGCUUGGCUUUCGAAGCGUCCAAGCGGGAAGAGCUGUUUUACUGAAAUCCUGGCUUGGGGAUGUUGGUGUCGAUAAACCCUGCACUGAUCCUUUCAUUUAGGAUUUUAAAAACAUGCAUGUCAGCAACAACAUUCAACAGAAAAAAGUUUACUAUAUGUAAUUAAGUGUUGUACCGGAAAUAAAAUACCUUGAGAGGAAUGCAUACCUUGAAACCAAAGGCCGGUCCUCUGUUCUCUACAAGUCACACUGCCUCUUUUACCAAGUUGAAUAAAAUUUUGGGGUCUAUUCUCAUGAACAAUAAAAUGGUGGUAGUGGUGGAAUUCUCUGGUGGUCACCUGAAUAAACUAAACCCAAAGGCUCUCCCAGACCAUGCAAGCUGAGUCUCUGUGAUUCUCUGUGAUUGAGCAUGGGCAGGACUGACCAAUAUAGGAUCACAUAGAACAGAACAAGAACCUGGUAAGUCCCCUGGGUUCAGGUUGUUCACAGUCCGGG